GACGAACGCUGGCGGCGUGCUUAACACAUGCAAGUCGAACGGAAAGGCCCUGCUCUUGCUGGGUGCUCGAGUGGCGAACGGGUGAGUAACACGUGAGUAACCUGCCCUUGACUGUGGGAUAACUUCAGGAAACUGGGGCUAAUACCGGAUAGGAGCUCCUGCUGCAUGGUGGGCGUUGGAAAGUUUCGGCGGUUCGGGAUCGACUCGCGGCUUAGCAGCUUGUUGGUGGGGUAGUGGCCUACUAAGCCUUGGACGGGUAGCCUGCCUGAGCGACGGGUCGGCGGCAUGGGAAGGGAGACGGCCACAUUGGGACUGAGGGACGGCGCAGUCUCGAACGGGAGGCAACGGUGGAGAGUAUUACACAGUAGGCGGGAGCGUGGUGCGAAGGCGCCGCGUGCGGGAUGAAGGCCUUCGGGUUGUGAACCGCUUUCGCCUGUGACGAAGAGUGCGUGACGGUACUGGGUAAAGAAGCACCGGCUAACUACGUG
Molecule: ribosomal RNA, 488 nt
Filed under: uncultured bacterium
Lineage: Bacteria
Description: partial 16S ribosomal RNA
Rfam family: Bacterial small subunit ribosomal RNA
Source: RNAcentral